This is a long non-coding RNA of Oenanthe melanoleuca, 671 nucleotides long. RefSeq lists it as uncharacterized. The record is from RefSeq and is a predicted model, not a curated record. Lineage: Eukaryota; Metazoa; Chordata; Aves; Passeriformes; Muscicapidae. The transcript has 4 exons.
GCCUGAACAACAGGAACAUUUUGUCUCCUGAGACACCAAUAUGCUGAAUCAAUAGAGUCAUGGUUUUCAGCCCAAUAUCUGUCCCCAUUAGAGUGGGCAAGUAACUCAGUGUUUGUUUAAAAUGAGAACUUUUUAAGUGACUCACAUGUUUGUUCCAUUGCUUCAAAGGAUUGUUCCACGCUGGCAAAAUCUCCCAUGGAAAGUUGAAGAGAAAAUUUAAGGAAGAUCUGCAGUUUUCAGAGUUUUGCAUUGCUUGCUUCUGACUUACUCAGGACUUGCCAUGCAGAGUAACCAGUGAGCACCUCCUGCCCUGCCCUGCUGUGCUGCCCGAGGGAUGGGUCUCCAGGGUGAGAUCUCUGCCAAGCUCAGCUCUUGCUAAGACCAGCCCCAGGAUCUUCAGCUAUUUGAUGCCCACUGAGGUUUCCUCACACUGGCUCUUACCCACCAUGGUGUCUCCUCAAGCCUGGCCCCAAGGAGGAAGAGGAUUUUGGUGAGUUGUGUGCCUGGCAUUUCUGAUUUUAACAUCCUGCUUGACCUUUGCCAGCCACAGCCUCCCUCAUCACUCAGAAUUCACUGUCUGAGCUCUCUGGGGCUGGGCUUUUGUUCAGGGUGCAAAUCCUAAGGCACAGUGCAUAACUCUGAUGUUUGGGCUCUUGAUUUGCUGACAUGUG